GACGGAGGGGGCUAGCGUUGUUCGGAAUUACUGGGCGUAAAGGGCGCGUAGGCGGAUUAGUAAGUUGGGAGUGAAAUCCCGGGGCUCAACCUCGGAAUGGCUCUCAAAACUACUAGUCUUGAGUGAAGUAGGGGAUGAUGGAAUUUCUAGUGUAGAGGUGAAAUUCUUAGAUAUUAGAAGGAACACCGGUGGCGAAGGCGGUCAUCUGGACUUCAACUGACGCUGAGGCGCGAAAGCGUGGGGAGCAAACAGG
RNAcentral lists this ribosomal RNA (253 nucleotides) under uncultured bacterium. Its description in RNAcentral is "partial 16S ribosomal RNA". It matches the Rfam family "Bacterial small subunit ribosomal RNA", at positions 524 to 776 of the family's 1533-position model. The record is from RNAcentral.